This 116-nucleotide ribosomal RNA is filed under the name Panthera tigris altaica (Amur tiger). Lineage: Eukaryota; Metazoa; Chordata; Mammalia; Carnivora; Felidae. The record is from RNAcentral.
GACAUUUGGUAGAGACUGUGAGGCCACCUGGUCCCAGCAGAUCCCAGAGAACGAACGGCCACAUUUGCUGGGGCUGAAACAAGGUUGUUAAGGGUGAAGCCUAGUGCCAGAUGUGU